UGCAUAUCAAUAAGCGGAGGAAAAGAAACUAACAAGGAUUCCCCUAGUAACUGCGAGUGAAGCGGGAAAAGCUCAAAUUUAAAAUCUGGCGGUCUUCGGCCGUCCGAGUUGUAGUCUGGAGAAGUGCUUUCCGCGCUGGACCGUGUAUAAGUCUCUUGGAACAGAGCGUCAUAGAGGGUGAGAAUCCCGUCUUUGACACGGACUACCAGUGCUUUGUGAUGCGCUCUCAAAGAGUCGAGUUGUUUGGGAAUGCAGCUCAAAAUGGGUGGUGAAUUCCAUCUAAAGCUAAAUAUUGGCGAGAGACCGAUAGCGAACAAGUACCGUGAGGGAAAGAUGAAAAGCACUUUGGAAAGAGAGUUAAACAGUACGUGAAAUUGCUGAAAGGGAAACGCUUGAAGUCAGUCGCGUCGUCCAGAACUCAGCCUCGCUCUCGCUUGGUGCACUUUCUGGAUGACGGGCCAGCAUCGAUUUUGACCGUCGGAAAAGGGCUGGGGUAAUGUGGCACCUCCGGGUGUGUUAUAGACUGCAGUCGCAUACGACGGUCGGGAUCGAGGUUCGCAGCGCGCCGCAAGGCAGGGGUUCGCCCACUUUCGCGCUUAGGAUGCUGGCAUAAUGGCUUUAAACGACCCGUCUUGAA
Molecule: ribosomal RNA, 637 nt
Filed under: Perenniporia fraxinea
Lineage: Eukaryota; Fungi; Basidiomycota; Agaricomycetes; Polyporales; Polyporaceae
Description: eukaryotic LSU rRNA
Rfam family: Eukaryotic large subunit ribosomal RNA
Source: RNAcentral